UACAGAGGUGGCAAGCGUUGUUCGGAAUUACUGGGCGUAAAGGGCGAGUAGGUGGCCAUCUAAGUCAGACGUGAAAUCCCCCGGCUUAACCUGGGAACUGCGUCUGAUACUGGACGGCUUGAGUAUGGGAGAGGAACGUAGAAUUCCAGGUGUAGCGGUGAAAUGCGUAGAGAUCGGGAGGAACACCCGUGGCGAAGGCGGCCAACUGGGCCGGACCUGACGCUGAGGCGCGAAAGCGUGGGGAGCAAACAGG
Molecule: ribosomal RNA, 253 nt
Filed under: uncultured bacterium
Lineage: Bacteria
Description: partial 16S ribosomal RNA
Rfam family: Bacterial small subunit ribosomal RNA
Source: RNAcentral